UUAAGCGACUAAGCGUACACGGUGGAUGCCCUGGCAGUCAGAGGCGAUGAAGGACGUGCUAAUCUGCGAUAAGCGUCGGUAAGGUGAUAUGAACCGUUAUAACCGGCGAUUUCCGAAUGGGGAAACCCAGUGUGAUUCGUCACACUAUCAUUAACUGAAUCCAUAGGUUAAUGAGGCGAACCGGGGGAACUGAAACAUCUAAGUACCCCGAGGAAAAGAAAUCAACCGAGAUUCCCCCAGUAGCGGCGAGCGAACGGGGAGGAGCCCAGAGCCUGAAUCAGUGUGUGUGUUAGUGGAAGCGUCUGGAAAGGCGCGCGAUACAGGGUGACAGCCCCGUACACAAAAAUGCACAUAUUGUGAGCUCGAUGAGUAGGGCGGGACACGUGGUAUCCUGUCUGAAUAUGGGGGGACCAUCCUCCAAGGCUAAAUACUCCUGACUGACCGAUAGUGAACCAGUACCGUGAGGGAAAGGCGAAAAGAACCCCGGCGAGGGGAGUGAAAAAGAACCUGAAACCGUGUACGUACAAGCAGUGGGAGCCUCUUUAUGGGGUGACUGCGUACCUUUUGUAUAAUGGGUCAGCGACUUAUAUUCUGUAGCAAGGUUAACCGAAUAGGGGAGCCGAAGGGAAACCGAGUCUUAACUGGGCGUUAAGUUGCAGGGUAUAGACCCGAAACCCGGUGAUCUAGCCAUGGGCAGGUUGAAGGUUGGGUAACACUAACUGGAGGACCGAACCGACUAAUGUUGAAAAAUUAGCGGAUGACUUGUGGCUGGGGGUGAAAGGCCAAUCAAACCGGGAGAUAGCUGGUUCUCCCCGAAAGCUAUUUAGGUAGCGCCUCGUGAAUUCAUCUCCGGGGGUAGAGCACUGUUUCGGCAAGGGGGUCAUCCCGACUUACCAACCCGAUGCAAACUGCGAAUACCGGAGAAUGUUAUCACGGGAGACACACGGCGGGUGCUAACGUCCGUCGUGAAGAGGGAAACAACCCAGACCGCCAGCUAAGGUCCCAAAGUCAUGGUUAAGUGGGAAACGAUGUGGGAAGGCCCAGACAGCCAGGAUGUUGGCUUAGAAGCAGCCAUCAUUUAAAGAAAGCGUAAUAGCUCACUGGUCGAGUCGGCCUGCGCGGAAGAUGUAACGGGGCUAAACCAUGCACCGAAGCUGCGGCAGCGACACUAAGUGUUGUUGGGUAGGGGAGCGUUCUGUAAGCCUGUGAAGGUGUGCUGUGAGGCAUGCUGGAGGUAUCAGAAGUGCGAAUGCUGACAUAAGUAACGAUAAAGCGGGUGAAAAGCCCGCUCGCCGGAAGACCAAGGGUUCCUGUCCAACGUUAAUCGGGGCAGGGUGAGUCGACCCCUAAGGCGAGGCCGAAAGGCGUAGUCGAUGGGAAACAGGUUAAUAUUCCUGUACUUGGUGUUACUGCGAAGGGGGGACGGAGAAGGCUAUGUUGGCCGGGCGACGGUUGUCCCGGUUUAAGCGUGUAGGCUGGUUUUCCAGGCAAAUCCGGAAAAUCAAGGCUGAGGCGUGAUGACGAGGCACUACGGUGCUGAAGCAACAAAUGCCCUGCUUCCAGGAAAAGCCUCUAAGCAUCAGGUAACAACAAAUCGUACCCCAAACCGACACAGGUGGUCAGGUAGAGAAUACCAAGGCGCUUGAGAGAACUCGGGUGAAGGAACUAGGCAAAAUGGUGCCGUAACUUCGGGAGAAGGCACGCUGAUAUGUAGGUGAAGCGACUUGCUCGUGGAGCUGAAAUCAGUCGAAGAUACCAGCUGGCUGCAACUGUUUAUUAAAAACACAGCACUGUGCAAACACGAAAGUGGACGUAUACGGUGUGACGCCUGCCCGGUGCCGGAAGGUUAAUUGAUGGGGUUAGCGGUAACGCGAAGCUCUUGAUCGAAGCCCCGGUAAACGGCGGCCGUAACUAUAACGGUCCUAAGGUAGCGAAAUUCCUUGUCGGGUAAGUUCCGACCUGCACGAAUGGCGUAAUGAUGGCCAGGCUGUCUCCACCCGAGACUCAGUGAAAUUGAACUCGCUGUGAAGAUGCAGUGUACCCGCGGCAAGACGGAAAGACCCCGUGAACCUUUACUAUAGCUUGACACUGAACAUUGAGCCUUGAUGUGUAGGAUAGGUGGGAGGCUUUGAAGUGUGGACGCCAGUCUGCAUGGAGCCGACCUUGAAAUACCACCCUUUAAUGUUUGAUGUUCUAACGUUGGCCCCUUAUCGGGGUUGCGGACAGUGUCUGGUGGGUAGUUUGACUGGGGCGGUCUCCUCCUAAAGAGUAACGGAGGAGCACGAAGGUUGGCUAAUCCUGGUCGGACAUCAGGAGGUUAGUGCAAUGGCAUAAGCCAGCUUGACUGCGAGCGUGACGGCGCGAGCAGGUGCGAAAGCAGGUCAUAGUGAUCCGGUGGUUCUGAAUGGAAGGGCCAUCGCUCAACGGAUAAAAGGUACUCCGGGGAUAACAGGCUGAUACCGCCCAAGAGUUCAUAUCGACGGCGGUGUUUGGCACCUCGAUGUCGGCUCAUCACAUCCUGGGGCUGAAGUAGGUCCCAAGGGUAUGGCUGUUCGCCAUUUAAAGUGGUACGCGAGCUGGGUUUAGAACGUCGUGAGACAGUUCGGUCCCUAUCUGCCGUGGGCGCUGGAGAACUGAGGGGGGCUGCUCCUAGUACGAGAGGACCGGAGUGGACGCAUCACUGGUGUUCGGGUUGUCAUGCCAAUGGCACUGCCCGGUAGCUAAAUGCGGAAGAGAUAAGUGCUGAAAGCAUCUAAGCACGAAACUUGCCCCGAGAUGAGUUCUCCCUGACCCUUUAAGGGUCCUGAAGGAACGUUGAAGACGACGACGUUGAUAGGCCGGGUGUGUAAGCGCAGCGAUGCGUUGAGCUAACCGGUACUAAUGAACCGUGAGGCUUAACCUU
Molecule: ribosomal RNA, 2902 nt
Filed under: Escherichia fergusonii
Lineage: Bacteria; Pseudomonadati; Pseudomonadota; Gammaproteobacteria; Enterobacterales; Enterobacteriaceae
Description: bacterial LSU rRNA
Rfam family: Bacterial large subunit ribosomal RNA
Source: RNAcentral